GAAAGCCUGAUGCAGCAACGCCGCGUGAGGGAUGAAGGCCUUCGGGUUGUAAACCUCUUUCAGCAGGGAAGAAGCGAAAGUGACGGUACCUGCAGAAAAAGCACCGGCUAACUACGUGCCAGCAGCCGCGGUAAUACGUAGGGUGCAAGCGUUGUCCGGAAUUAUUGGGCGUAAAGAGCUCGUAGGCGGUUAGUCGCGUCGGAUGUGAAAACCCGAGGCUCAACCUUGGACCUGCAGUGGAUACGGGCAGACUAGAGUGCGGUAGGGGAGAUUGGAAUUCCUGGUGUAGCGGUGGAAUGCGCAGAUAUCHBBADBRRVRCCAAUGGCGAAGGCAGGUCUCUGGGCAGUAACUGACGCUGAGGAGCGAAAGCGUGGGGAGCCUCYHYNDYKAGWUACCCUGGUAGUCCACGCCBUAAACBBBGGGRGRCUYACUGGGUCCGUUCCACGUACUCCGCCCGCAGCUAACGCAUGAGCGCCCCGCCUAGGAUAACGGAAGUGC
RNAcentral lists this ribosomal RNA (499 nucleotides) under uncultured bacterium. RNAcentral describes it as "partial 16S rRNA". It matches the Rfam family "Bacterial small subunit ribosomal RNA", at positions 377 to 873 of the family's 1533-position model. The record is from RNAcentral.